RNAcentral lists this ribosomal RNA (461 nucleotides) under uncultured bacterium. Its description in RNAcentral is "partial 16S ribosomal RNA". It matches the Rfam family "Bacterial small subunit ribosomal RNA", at positions 338 to 795 of the family's 1533-position model. The record is from RNAcentral.
CCUACAGGAGGCAGCAGUGAGGAAUAUUGGUCAAUGGGCUUACGUCUGAACCAGCCAAGUCGCGUGAGGGAAGACUGCCCUAUGGGUUGUAAACCUCUUUUGUCAGGGAGCAACGCCGGCUACGUGUAGCCGGACUGAGAGUACCUGAAGAAAAAGCAUCGGCUAAUUCCGUGCCAGCAGCCGCGGUAAUACGGAGGAUGCGAGCGUUAUCCGGAUUUAUUGGGUUUAAAGGGAGCGUAGGUGGAUUGUUAAGUCAGUUGUGAAAGUUUGCGGCUCAACCGUAAAAUUGCAGUUGAAACUGGCAGUCUUGAGUACAGUAGAGGUGGGCGGAAUUCGUGGUGUAGCGGUGAAAUGCUUAGAUAUCACGAAGAACGCCGAUUGCGAAGGCAGUUCACUGGACUGCAACUGACACUGAGGCUCGAAAGUGUGGGUAUCAAACAGGAUUAGAUACCCGUGUAGUC